GAUGAACGCUGGCGGCGUGCCUAAUACAUGCAAGUCGAGCGAACAGACGAGGAGCUUGCUCCUCUGACGUUAGCGGCGGACGGGUGAGUAACACGUGGAUAACCUACCUAUAAGACUGGGAUAACUUCGGGAAACCGGAGCUAAUACCGGAUAAUAUAUUGAACCGCAUGGUUCAAUAGUGAAAGACGGUUUUGCUGUCACUUAUAGAUGGAUCCGCGCCGCAUUAGCUAGUUGGUAAGGUAACGGCUUACCAAGGCAACGAUGCGUAGCCGACCUGAGAGGGUGAUCGGCCACACUGGAACUGAGACACGGUCCAGACGCCUACGGGAGGCAGCAGUAGCAAUCUUCCGCAAUGGGCGAAAGCCUGACGGAGCAACGCCGCGUGAGUGAUGAAGGUCUUCGGAUCGUAAAACUCUGUUAUUAGGGAAGAACAAAUGUGUAAGUAACUAUGCACGUCUUGACGGUACCUAAUCAGAAAGCCACGGCUAACUACGUG
Molecule: ribosomal RNA, 496 nt
Filed under: uncultured bacterium
Lineage: Bacteria
Description: partial 16S ribosomal RNA
Rfam family: Bacterial small subunit ribosomal RNA
Source: RNAcentral